UGCCAGCCGCCGCGGUAAUACGGAGGGUGCAAGCGUUAUCCGGAAUUACUGGGUUUAAAGGGUGCGUAGGCGGCGUUGUAAGUCAGAGGUGAAAUCUUGCGGCUAAACCGUAAAACUGCCUUUGAAACUGCGAUGCUAGAGUGCGGUGGAGGUGAGCGGAAUGUGUCAUGUAGCGGUGAAAUGCAUAGAUAUGACAUAGAACACCAAUUGCGAAGGCAGCUCACUACACCAUUACUGACGCUGAGUCACGAAAGCGUGGGUAGCGAACAGGAUUAGAUA
RNAcentral lists this ribosomal RNA (279 nucleotides) under uncultured bacterium. Its description in RNAcentral is "partial 16S ribosomal RNA". It matches the Rfam family "Bacterial small subunit ribosomal RNA", at positions 506 to 784 of the family's 1533-position model. The record is from RNAcentral.